CGGAGAGGAGCGCGGCGGGGAGCGGAGGCCCGGGAGGAAGAAGCUCGGGCCGGUGGAGAGGGAAGGCUCCUACACUGCUUUUCUAAUAGCUGUACAGUAGGGAAGAGGCAUCUCGAGCGGUGUGUGUUCACAGCAGCGUUCUCUCCGGGCCCGCUGGCAAUGCAUUCCUGAGACUCCUAAAAAUAAGAUGGAAAAUAAACUUUAUACCCCGCCGGGAUCAAGUCUCGCGGGCCCUGGUCAGUCGUAAAAGAGUAAAAAUGAAGUAGGGGCGGUGUGUCAAUGAGUCGGUGCCCAGGAGCCUGAGGGGGCUGGCUGUGGCACUGCCCAUGGCGAAGCGCCUGCCCGAGGGACGGCGGGAGAUGGCGGGAGCCGAGGGAGUUGGUGGCUGAGCCACCCAUGGCACCCUCCGGCUGUGACACGGGGCCGUCCCUGCGGGGCCCGGGUGAGGAGAGCUCGCAGGAGGGCCGGAAAGUCACGCUGAAAUACCCUCUGAGGACACAGUGAGUUCACGCGCCUCGGGCAGGCUGGGGGUGCGGAAAUCGAGACCAUGUUGCGGUAUUAAAUCACAUUGAGUAUAGUCUGACAGGGAUUUGGGACAUCAGAACACCAGCAACCAAGAAAUUAUCCCCGAUGUGCUCUCAAAGAGGACUGAUUUUAUAGGACUCUGCAUUCAGGGCCAUAAAAGUGCUAAUGAGCUCUAGCUGAUUAAAAUGCUGACGCCGCACAUGCCUGGUUACUUGGUUACCUGUGAAUUAGCGACCUCUGCGAAGAACCCGUAGGCCCUGGAGGGCUGAUGAGAAGGCCUGCCCUUGACCUGCUGUGAGGUCAGAAGCUGAGGAGUGUUUUGAGUGCUUCAUUUGAAACGGGCCACCGCUCUCCAAGAACUGCAGACUCAAGCUGUGGAGAUGAGAUCUACUGCCAACGGGAAGGGACAGAAGGGUCCUUGGGACGUACAGGGAGAAAGGAUGAUGGAGUGGUGGAUCACAUCCAAACUUCCUCUUGAGUAGGGAAGACCCAUGGAGCACUGCAGUGUCCUCCUGGAUGUGGGAGGCUAGUGACCCUUAGGUGGGGACAGGGUGAUGACAAUUCCCCAGAGCAGUUGGACUGGUCCUGCAGCUCCACGAACCGCCCCGGGCAGCUCUUCUGCCAGCAGGGAAACCAGGUCGAUUUGGAAGCCGGAUGGAACGUCACCGAACCUGCGUCAAUCCAGGAUUCCUCAUUCAGGAUGUGGAAAAAACGCAGAUUCAUCCUGAAACAAUUCGCCUCGCCCAAAGCCACCAGCUUUGGACGUUGGUGCCCAGGUGCUCAGGUGGGCCGGAGGUGCCCAGGAAUACAAACUAUGUGGGCAGGGGAGCGGGCGGGUGUCUUGGUUUGAGUGACACAGGGAUAAUUUCUCUUCUAAUGCCUGAGAAAACUGCACUUCAGUGUUUUCCAGAUCCUCAGGUGUAGGGAUAAGGAGGAUCAAGACCUGGACACUUGACCCAAGCUGCCAACAGGGUUAUUUCAUACCAUGAAUGAAACGUUCAAUAUAUCAAUUAGAAAGUUUCCUGAGGAGUUCUCUCUCUCUCUUUCCCCCUUAGUGGCUGCCAUCCUGAGAACUCCUUGUCCCGGUGCCGGAGCCCUGAGCCCUUCCCUUCCUCCCGAAGCCCCAGCGCUCGCAGGGUCCCACACUGGCUGUGCCUGCAGGGAGUGCACGGCUUCUGCUGGGGAAUGGGCUGGGGACAGUCCUGGGGUGUUUUAUAUUGGUAUCGGGAUCAAUAUUGGCUCUUUAGUGUUAUUGAUGUUAAUGAUCUAGUCUGAUUCUAUUAAAUCUGUUUAUAUUUCAA
Molecule: long non-coding RNA, 1826 nt
Organism: Calidris pugnax (ruff)
Lineage: Eukaryota; Metazoa; Chordata; Aves; Charadriiformes; Scolopacidae
Exons: 2
Source: RefSeq, a predicted model, not a curated record